Molecule: long non-coding RNA, 390 nt
Organism: Peromyscus californicus insignis
Lineage: Eukaryota; Metazoa; Chordata; Mammalia; Rodentia; Cricetidae
Exons: 2
Source: RefSeq, a predicted model, not a curated record
GGAGCGCAGAUUGCCGUUUCGGGGCCAUGGCACAAGGGAAGAGGCCAGGAGCCAGAGGCCGGCGGCCCGACGCUCACAGCAGGAAGGAACUCGCAGGAACUGAGGCGGCCUCAGUUUGGUCUCCGGCAGACUUAGCUACGUGCUGUUGCCUCACCUCAGCCUGGAACAUUCUUCGCUCUUCCCAACCCCCCUACUCCUGCGUCUGGCUAGACUCCUUCCCAGCCUGCAGAUCGCCGCUUGCAGGGACAGAUGAGUGUUGGAAGAAAAGGGAUUCCAAGGCGAGAAUUACAAAAAUCGCGGCGGGGGAGGGAAGGGAAGACUUGGCGCAUCCAUUCCCUCUACCCCAAAGGGCUUGAGUCAGAGAAGUAAAAUGCGCUGGCUCAGCCUGUA